AAAUUGAAGAGUUUGAUCAUGGCUCAGAUUGAACGCUGGCGGCAGGCCUAACACAUGCAAGUCGAGCGGAAACGAGCUAACUGAACCUUCGGGGAACGUUAACGGCGUCGAGCGGCGGACGGGUGAGUAAUGCCUAGGAAAUUGCCCUGAUGUGGGGGAUAACCAUUGGAAACGAUGGCUAAUACCGCAUAAUGCCUUCGGGCCAAAGAGGGGGACCUUCGGGCCUCUCGCGUCAGGAUAUGCCUAGGUGGGA
RNAcentral lists this ribosomal RNA (253 nucleotides) under Vibrio europaeus. RNAcentral describes it as "partial 16S ribosomal RNA". It matches the Rfam family "Bacterial small subunit ribosomal RNA", at positions 1 to 240 of the family's 1533-position model. Lineage: Bacteria; Pseudomonadati; Pseudomonadota; Gammaproteobacteria; Vibrionales; Vibrionaceae. The record is from RNAcentral.